Molecule: small nuclear RNA, 183 nt
Organism: Polyodon spathula (Mississippi paddlefish)
Lineage: Eukaryota; Metazoa; Chordata; Actinopteri; Acipenseriformes; Polyodontidae
Product: U2 spliceosomal RNA
Exons: 1
Source: RefSeq, a predicted model, not a curated record
AUUGUACUUUGAGGAUUUAAUAAAAGAAAAUAAAAAAGCUUCAGUUUAAUAUCUGAUGCAUCCCUUAUCUGGGAACCAUAUAUUAAAUUGAUUUUUGGAACUUGGAGAUGGAAGAGGGGCUUGCUCCGUCCACUCCCUGCAUCGACCUGGUAUUGCAGUACCUCCAGGAACGGUGCACUCCCC